GGCUGGUCAAAGUACAGUGGUGUUUACAAUUAAUUGAUCACGACUAGUCAUAGAUUUGUUUCUUCUCCACUCCCAUUGUCUUACUUGACUAGCCUUAA
RNAcentral lists this Y RNA (98 nucleotides) under Callithrix jacchus (white-tufted-ear marmoset). Its description in RNAcentral is "Y RNA (ENSCJAG00000087095.1)". It matches the Rfam family "Y RNA". From Rfam's summary of the family: Y RNAs are components of the Ro ribonucleoprotein particle (Ro RNP), in association with Ro60 and La proteins. Lineage: Eukaryota; Metazoa; Chordata; Mammalia; Primates; Cebidae. The record is from Rfam by way of RNAcentral.